Molecule: non-coding RNA, 21 nt
Filed under: Caenorhabditis elegans
Lineage: Eukaryota; Metazoa; Nematoda; Chromadorea; Rhabditida; Rhabditidae
Source: RNAcentral
UGUCUCCUGCUCUUUUUCCCA